GAUGCUAUGGCCGAGUUGGUUAGGUGGCGCUCUGCAAAAGCGUUUACACGGGUUCGAGUCCCGUUAGCAUCUC
This 73-nucleotide transfer RNA is filed under the name Arthrobacter phage Atuin. RNAcentral's name for it is "tRNA-Cys". It matches the Rfam family "tRNA". Rfam says of the family: Transfer RNA (tRNA) molecules are approximately 80 nucleotides in length. Their secondary structure includes four short double-helical elements and three loops (D, anti-codon, and T loops). Further hydrogen bonds mediate the characteristic L-shaped molecular structure. tRNAs have two regions of fundamental functional importance: the anti-codon, which is responsible for specific mRNA codon recognition, and the 3' end, to which the tRNAs corresponding amino acid is attached (by aminoacyl-tRNA synthetases). tRNAs cope with the degeneracy of the genetic code in two manners: having more than one tRNA (with a specific anti-codon) for a particular amino acid; and 'wobble' base-pairing, i.e. permitting non-standard base-pairing at the 3rd anti-codon position. The record is from RNAcentral. Lineage: Duplodnaviria; Heunggongvirae; Uroviricota; Caudoviricetes.